Molecule: ribosomal RNA, 468 nt
Filed under: uncultured bacterium
Lineage: Bacteria
Description: partial 16S ribosomal RNA
Rfam family: Bacterial small subunit ribosomal RNA
Source: RNAcentral
GACGAACGCUGGCGGCGUGCUUAACACAUGCAAGUCGAACGGAAAGGCCCUGCUUUCGUGGGGUGCUCGAGUGGCGAACGGGUGAGUAACACGUGAGUAACCUGCCCUUGACUUUGGGAUAACUUCAGGAAACUGGGGCUAAUACCGGAUAGGAGCUCCCGUUGCAGGGAGGGGGUUGGAAAGUCUGGGCGGGUGUGGAUGGAUUCGCGGCUUAUGAGCUUGUUGGUGGGGUAGUGGCUUACCAAGGCUUUGACGGGUAGCCGGCCGGGGAGGGGGACCGGCCACCUUGGGACUACGAUACGGCCCAGCCGGCUACGUGGGACAGCGGUGGGGAGUAUUGCACAAUGAGCGGAAGCCUGAGGCAGAAACGCCGCGUGCGGAAAGACGGCCUUCGGGUUGUAAACCGCUUUCGCCUGUGACGAAGCGUGACUGACGGUAAUGAAUAAAUAAGCACCGGCUAACUACGUG